GACGAACGCUGGCGGCGUGCUUAACACAUGCAAGUCGAACGGAAAGGCCCUGCUUUUGUGGGGUGCUCGAGUGGCGAACGGGUGAGUAACACGUGAGUAACCUGCCCUUGACUUUGGGAUAACUUCAGGAAACUUGGGCUACUACCGGAUAGGAUCUCCUGCUGCAUGGUGGGGGUUGGAAAGUUUCGGCGGUUGGGGAUGGACUGGCGGCUUAUCAGCUUGUUGGUGGGGUAGUGGCUUACCAAGGCUUUGACGGGUAGCCGGCCUGAGAGGGUGACCGGCAACAUUGGGACUGAGAUACGGCCCAGACGCGUACGGGAGGCAGCAGUGGGGAAUAUGGCACAAUGGGCGGAAGCCUGAUGCAGCAACGCAGCGUGCGGGAUGACGGCCUGCGGGUUGUAAACCGCUUUCGCCUGUGACGAAGCGUGAGUGACGGUAAUGGGUAAAGAAGCACCGGCUAACUACGUG
Molecule: ribosomal RNA, 468 nt
Filed under: uncultured bacterium
Lineage: Bacteria
Description: partial 16S ribosomal RNA
Rfam family: Bacterial small subunit ribosomal RNA
Source: RNAcentral